AGCGACAGAGGGUAGCACAAUCAGACAACGCCCUCGCCUUUUACUAGGGCGUUCCGUGGGCUGCCCUCAUUUCCAUGUCGCAUUCCCAAUUUUUCAGCACUCAGCUUGCUCUGAGAU
Small nuclear RNA from Coniophora puteana RWD-64-598 SS2, 117 nucleotides. It matches the Rfam family "U5 spliceosomal RNA". Rfam says of the family: U5 RNA is a component of both types of known spliceosome. The precise function of this molecule is unknown, though it is known that the 5' loop is required for splice site selection and p220 binding, and that both the 3' stem-loop and the Sm site are important for Sm protein binding and cap methylation. The record is from Rfam. Lineage: Eukaryota; Fungi; Basidiomycota; Agaricomycetes; Boletales; Coniophoraceae.